Molecule: non-coding RNA, 450 nt
Organism: Vicugna pacos (alpaca)
Lineage: Eukaryota; Metazoa; Chordata; Mammalia; Artiodactyla; Camelidae
Source: the annotation of a RefSeq genome assembly
AUGUGCAUGUGGUGACAGGGACUCAGAGACACAGAGCUCUCAGCUCAGGCAGAACUAAACACAUCUGUGCAGCGGAGCCCAUGCCUCAUGCCGCUCUCCAGCCUGCUCGGGGUCUUCCUGGCCCUCAUCUUCUCGGGAUCAGGAGUGGCCCAGACAGUUACUCAAGACCAGCCAGCCGUAUCCUCUCACGUGGGGGAGACAGUCACCCUGAACUGUCGGUAUGAAACAAGUGAUAGCAUAUACUAUAUUUUUUGGUACAAGCAGCCUCCCAGUGGAGAGAUGACUUUCCUUAUUCGUCAGGAUUCAUCUAGUGGGAAUGCCAAGAGUGGCCGCUACUCUGUAAACUUCUGGAAAGCAGAAAAAUCCCUCAGCCUCACUAUCUCAAACUUACAGCUGGAGGAUUCUGCAAAGUACUUCUGUGUUCUCCGAGAAGCACUGUGCUUGAAGUAA